This 467-nucleotide ribosomal RNA is filed under the name uncultured bacterium. RNAcentral's name for it is "partial 16S ribosomal RNA". It matches the Rfam family "Bacterial small subunit ribosomal RNA", at positions 28 to 507 of the family's 1533-position model. The record is from RNAcentral.
GAUGAACGCUGGCGGCGUGCUUAACACAUGCAAGUCGAACGGAAAGGCCCAAGCUUGCUUGGGUACUCGAGUGGCGAACGGGUGAGUAACACGUGGGUGAUCUGCCCUGCACUUCGGGAUAAGCCUGGGAAACUGGGUCUAAUACCGGAUAGGACCACAUUUUGGAUGGUGUGGUGGAAAGUUUUUCGGUGUGGGAUGAGCUCGCGGCCUAUCAGCUUGUUGGUGGGGUAAUGGCCUACCAAGGCGUCGACGGGUAGCCGGCCUGAGAGGGGGUACGGCCACAUUGGGACUGAGAUACGGCGCAGACUCCUACGGGGGGCAGCAGUGGGGAAGAUUGUACAAUGGGCGCAAGCCUGAUGCAGCGACGCCGCGUGGGGGAUGACGGCCUUCGGGUUGUAAACUCCUUUCGCUAGGGACAAAGCGUUUUUGUGACGGUACCUGGAGAAGAAGCACCGGCUAACUACGUG